UGAGUUUUGGGAAAAACUUCAAAUAUCACUCCCUAUGAUUUUAUAAUUUCUCACUUCAGUACUCUAUAAUUUAAAUUGGAUUUAAUUUAGUGUCUUGUAGUUUUAUUUUUAUUUUUUGUUAUUAAUUUUACUUUUCUUUUUUUCAUUAGAUUAGUGCCAGAGUUAAAACUAAAGGGUAUUAAAAUGAAUAUUCGAUAAAUCUAGAUGGAGUUUAUGAAUUUUUUUUGUAUAUAAUUUAAAUUAAUAUUAACGGAAAAACUGACGAAAAGAUAAAAAUGAAACCAUGAUACACUUUAAAUCAUAUGGUACUAAAGUGGAAAAGUGCGAAAAUUUAAAGUUUACCUUUAUUAUCUAUAUCUAUCUAUACUAUAAAAGCGUAUAGAAAUUUCGAGAAUGCCAGACGGAAUCUAAAAAAGAAUAAAAUAAUAUUCCCUACGAAUGGUUAUUAUUAAUUUAUUAAAAAUAUCUCAAAUAAAAACGAACGGUUAUGAUCAAUUUAAUAAAUCUCUACUAUAUAUAUAAAAAUCUAUUCCCUAUAAAUGGAUAUGAUCAAUUUGUUAAAAAAAUAUCUCAAAUAAGAACAGUUAUGAUCAAUUUAUUAAAAAAUAGCAUUCCUAUUCAUCUAUAAAUUCAAUUCUAUGAUUAUUAUCAAUUUGUUAAAAAAUAUCUUAAAUAAAAAUAAAUGGUUAUAAUCAAUUUGUUAAAAAAAUAGCAUUCAUACUAAUCUAUUUUACAGUAAAAUUAAAAUUUGAGUUUAAAUUAUGAAUUAAAUUUAAUUUUUGAUAUCAAAUUUGAAUUAACAAUUAAUUUUUUUAUUACAGUGAAUUAAAAUUAAAUUUUAAAUUUUAAAGUAAAUGUGAAUUAAAUUUUGAUGCUUUUAAUUUAAAACACAUAUUUAAAUUUGAUUUAUCAAAAAUUAAAAAAUAUAUAAAAAUGUUCGAUUUAUAUAAAAAAAAGAACACUAUAGGAUAUUGUAAAUAUUUUCUAAUAAAAUAUAACAUAUUAAUUUAUAAAUAUAAUUUUUAUUGUAAAAUUUUGGAUAUAUAUAAGGUACAAAUAUAUAUUGAUUUGAAAUAAAUUAUAAUAAUUGUUACGUGCAUUUGCACAUACAUUCAACUAGUUAUUAUAGAAAAACAUAAUGAGUGGUUUCGCACUUUUUCACUUUAGUAUCAUGUGGUUUAAAGUGUAUCACUUUUGUAUUUUAUAGUUUUAUUUUUUUCUUUUUGUUAUUCCCUCUACUAAUUUUUUUCGUUAAAUCAGUAACAAAGUUAAAACUAAAUGGUACUAAGGUGAAUAUUCGAUAAACUAUAGGUGAGGUAUCUGAAGUUUUUUGUAUAGGGUUUGAUGAAAAGUUAACGGAAGGACCGGUAAAAAAAUAAAAUAAAAUCAUAUGGUACUAAAUUGAUACACUUUAAACCACAGAAUACUAAAAUAAAAAAUAUAAAACUACAGAAUGGUAUUUAAAAUUUACCCUAUUAUUAUUAUUAUUAUUAUUAUUAUUGAUUUUCAUAUUAUGUAAUAUAAGUUGGAAAAAUUAGAAAAGAGAAGUUAGGUAAUAAAGGUGAACAAUAAAUAAAUAAAUAAAUAAAUAAAUAAUUGGGAAUACUCAAACAAGUCUUUUGUUCAACAAUGGUGGUUUCUUUAUAAGGACCACUAAAAUUGAUCCAAUAGCCCAAAAAAGCUAUAGCAUUAACACUAGAGUGCGGCUUGGAUGCUAAUGGAAGCACAGAGGGCUCCGUGCUUUCACUUUAUUUUCAAUGUUCAGACUUUCGAAUCGACGAUCGGCUCCGUUAGACUUGAUCUAGAAUAUUUGAAGCAUCUAGAAAAUAAAUUUUACGAUUUUUCGAUAUCAUUUGCCUAGUGAUCGAAGUGGCUCAAAAUCAACGGCUGAAAAUAAAAAUCUUACAAAAUAUGAUGAUACGACAUUAAAAUUUUAGAUCAAAGUUAUUGAUCUUGUUUUAUAUGGUAUAAAGAAUUUUCUAUCAAAAUUUCAUGUGAUUUGGAUAUUUCUACACCGUUAAACUUGCAACCGGCUCACCACGGCCGUUAAAAUUAUUGAUUUUAAGUCCAUUCGAUCACUAGGCAAAUGAUAUCGAAAAAUCGUAAAAUUUAUUUUCUAGGUACUUCAAAUACUCU
This 2136-nucleotide long non-coding RNA is filed under the name Ananas comosus (pineapple). Its description in RNAcentral is "long non-coding RNA (ACOM_LNC024723)". Lineage: Eukaryota; Viridiplantae; Streptophyta; Magnoliopsida; Poales; Bromeliaceae. The record is from RNAcentral.